UGAGGAACGUGACCUUCGGCGGGGGAUAGCCGGCCCAACGGCCGGGUAAUACCGCGUACGACCACAUGGGGACAUCCCUGAGUGGUGAAAGCAGCAAUGCGCCGAUGGAGUGCCUCGCGGCCUAUCAGCUAGUUGGUGAGGUAACGGCUCACCAAGGCGACGACGGGUAGCUGGUCUGAGAGGAUGGCCAGCCACACUGGGACUGAGACACGGCCCAGACUCCGUAGGGAG
This 231-nucleotide ribosomal RNA is filed under the name uncultured bacterium. RNAcentral describes it as "partial 16S ribosomal RNA". It matches the Rfam family "Bacterial small subunit ribosomal RNA", at positions 118 to 347 of the family's 1533-position model. The record is from RNAcentral.